AUGGGAAACAGGUUAAUAUUCCUGUACUUGGUGUUACUGCGAAGGGGGGACGGAGAAGGCUAUGUUGGCCGGGCGACGGUUGUCCCGGUUUAAGCGUGUAGGCUGGUUUUCCAGGCAAAUCCGGAAAAUCAAGGCUGAGGCGUGAUGACGAGGCACUACGGUGCUGAAGCAACAAAUGCCCUGCUUCCAGGAAAAGCCUCUAAGCAUCAGGUAACAUCAAAUCGUACCCCAAACCGACACAGGUGGUCAGGUAGAGAAUACCAAGGCGCUUGAGAGAACUCGGGUGAAGGAACUAGGCAAAAUGGUGCCGUAACUUCGGGAGAAGGCACGCUGAUAUGUAGGUGAAGUCCCUUGCGGAUGG
RNAcentral lists this ribosomal RNA (361 nucleotides) under Shigella sonnei. Its description in RNAcentral is "partial 23S ribosomal RNA". It matches the Rfam family "Bacterial large subunit ribosomal RNA", at positions 1418 to 1776 of the family's 2925-position model. The record is from RNAcentral. Lineage: Bacteria; Pseudomonadati; Pseudomonadota; Gammaproteobacteria; Enterobacterales; Enterobacteriaceae.